Molecule: long non-coding RNA, 1016 nt
Filed under: Saimiri boliviensis boliviensis (Bolivian squirrel monkey)
Lineage: Eukaryota; Metazoa; Chordata; Mammalia; Primates; Cebidae
Description: lncRNA (ENSSBOG00000036744.1)
Source: RNAcentral
UUGCAAGAAGGCAUUGCACGUACUUUGACACAAACAAAGUUCUUGGUUUGCAUGCAGCCAAGAGAAUGACAGCUCAGCCACUGAAGUCCUGAUGCUUGUACUCAGGGAGCUGCUGUAUCAGAACCAGAGUUUGGGCUCUCUACCAAAUCCUGGGUCAGAAGCUUGGCUCUGUCAUGUCUUCCUCUGAGGGAUUCAUUGUUCCAUCCACAAAAUGGCUAUUAUUUUUUCUUUAUUUUAUUUUUCUGGGACCAAAUAGAAAUUUCUGAAAUAAGGGCUGCCUUGUAGUUAUGGGUGACAUAGUCUAAUUUAUGGCUCUCAUACUUUUCUGUCUGAUUUAAAAACCAUAUGGAAGCUAUAUUGCUGUGAAAAUACAACUCAUAUGUAUAGAUUGAUAGACAGAUAUGUACAGACACACAAAUUAUUAAUAGUAGCCAUCUCUGGAUGGUGAUAUUUUAAUCCUUUUGUUAUUGACAUUUUCCAACUAUUUUACAAUAAACCCAAAUUAUUUGUAUAAUGAAAAAAAUGCAAAAAAAAAAAAAUCUCAUUCUUGGUGCUCAGAGCAAGGGAACUGUAAGUCAUGGUGAACUGAGAAAAGGAGAGAAAUAAUGGCCUUAGGCAGCCUACAGGACCAUCCACCCUAUGAGGCCCUCAGGGUGUGGCUACCUUGGACUUUGUUGUGUAUAUGUGUGUUCAUGUGUAUGUGCGUGUGUGUGUGUGUGUGUGUGUGUGUAUUUAUAUGGGCAUGCAUGUAUGUGUGUUGUGUGCAUGUUAUAUGUAUGGGCAUGUGUGUGUGUAUGAGUAUUCAUGAGUGUGGGCAUGUGUUAUGUUUAUGUAUAUGUGUGGUAUGUUAUAUGCACGUGCUUGUGUGUAUGCAUAUUCAUGUGUGUUACUGUUCCAGACGCUCAAAACCAUCCCAUGCUGCCCCCUGGGACACGAGCCCAGCACUCUUCAUCUGGGAUCUCUCCCUCUUCACUUGGGUUUCUAUCUUCUGCAAAGAGUUGCUUCUGAGGCAAUGA